This 297-nucleotide ribosomal RNA is filed under the name uncultured Atopobium sp. Its description in RNAcentral is "partial 16S ribosomal RNA". It matches the Rfam family "Bacterial small subunit ribosomal RNA", at positions 220 to 524 of the family's 1533-position model. The record is from RNAcentral. Lineage: Bacteria; Bacillati; Actinomycetota; Coriobacteriia; Coriobacteriales; Atopobiaceae.
AAAGGAUGGGGCCCGCGGCCUGUUAGCUAGUUGGUGGGGUAGUGGCCUACCCAAGGCCAAUGAUGGGUAGCCGGGUUGAGAGACCGACCGGCCAGAUUGGGACUGAGACACGGCCCAGACUCCUACGGGAGGCAGCAGUGGGGAAUCUUGCACAAUGGGCGAAAGCCUGAUGCAGCGACGCCGCGUGCGGGAUGAAGGCCUUCGGGUUGUAAACCGCUUUCAGCAGGGACGAGGCCGCAAGGUGACGGUACCUGCAGAAGAAGCCCCGGCUAACUACGUGCCAGCAGCCGCGGUAAU